GAUCAUGGCUCAGAUUGAACGCUGGCGGCAUGCCUUACACAUGCAAGUCGAACGGCAGCGGGCCUUCGGGUGCCGGCGAGUGGCGAACGGGUGAGUAAUGCAUCGGAACGUGCCAUUGAGUGGGGAUAACGUAGCGAAAGUUGCGCUAAUACCGCAUAUUCUGUGAGCAGGAAAGCAGGGGACCGCAAGGCCUUGCGCUCUUUGAGCGGCCGAUGUCAGAUUAGCUAGUUGGUGAGGUAAAGGCUUACCAAGGCGACGAUCUGUAGCGGGUCUGAGAGGAUGAUCCGCCACACUGGAACUGAGACACGGUCCAGACUCCUACGGGAGGCAGCAGUGGGGAAUUUUGGACAAUGGGGCAACCCUGAUCCAGCCAUGCCGCGUGAGUGAAGAAGGCCUUCGGGUUGUAAAGCUCUUUCGGCCGGGAAGAAAUCGCAUGGGUGAAUACCCUGUGUGGAUGACGGUACCGGAACAAGAAGCACCGGCUAACUACGUG
This 493-nucleotide ribosomal RNA is filed under the name uncultured bacterium. Its description in RNAcentral is "bacterial SSU rRNA". It matches the Rfam family "Bacterial small subunit ribosomal RNA", at positions 15 to 507 of the family's 1533-position model. The record is from RNAcentral.